UUAUACUUACAAAAGUCUCCGAAAAGUCCUUGGAGUUACGCAAUUUGGGGCCCGCAGACGCGCGUGGACACAAAAACACACGCUCCCGAGAUCCACCCUCCCCGGGCCACACUGUGGGGCUGCGUCCGGGGCACGGGCCAUGCCUGAACCUUCUUCCACCGCCGCGCCCCGGGCCCGCGCCCCGCCGGCCGCCCGCACUGGGUCCCGCGUCGCCCCCGCCACCACACCGAGCCGCCCAGUACCUCCUCCUCCUGAAGGCAGAGCUGGGGGUCCGUACGGAGGAACUUCAGAGGCUGGAAGCACGCUUGAAAAAGAAAGGGGGCCUGGGCUUUGCACCAGCUUCAGGAUUGCGUACUUGUUUCCUCAUCCGUGAAAUGGGAGCAGCUGAAUGUGUCUCCUCGAGUUUUCGAGGCUGAGCUCGAGCUCCUGGCCUCAAGUGAUCCUCCUGCUUUUGGCCUCCCAAACUGAUGGGAUUACAACGUGGAGCCACCGUGUUAAACUCUUAGAUUUGACUGCUACAAAGGUAUAAAUGUGGAACUCCAUAUAUCAGUGGGUUCUGCCCCACUUCUUCCUCCCAGGAAUUCUCCAUCCCAGCCUGCUGCUCCUGUCUUGCACCGGUAACAGUUUCCAACUACAGUAUUUGCUUAACUGUUUCUCCCCACCCCCACCAGACAUUCUUUAUACUUGGUUUAAGUGCUGCUGGGGAUAGGGCGGGGGUGGCUGUGGGAGUUGCAGAUAAGGACCCUCCCUUUAGGGAGUUUAAAGUGGUAUGGUGGCUCACACUUGGAAUCUCAGCACUUAAGGAGAUAGAGGAAAGAGGAUUGCUUGAGCCCAGGAGUUCAAGACCUGCCUGGGCAACAUAGUGAGACUCUGUUCUCCACAGAGGGGAAAAAAAGAAAAGACAAAAAAAUAAAGUGGUAUGGAGCCAAGAUACUCUCAGAAUCCUCUUUCCGAUUAUAGAAAGCAAGGAAAAUAUUUGCUUUAAGGGCAUUAUGAGGAGAAAAACAGUAGUGAUACUUGGAUUUACAUAUUGGAUUUAUCUUGGGGGUUUGGAGAUUUUGAAACAGGAAGAUUUCCAUAAGGAAAACAUGUUUUUUUAAUUGCUGUCAUAAUGUGAUUUCUCUCUAAGGGGAACAAACAUGUAUCCUGGAUGAAAAUAAACCAACUCUUGAAACUGCAACCCAAGACAUUCAGAAGAGAUAAGGCUACAGUGAAUGUGGAAACUUUGCACGUGUUUGGAUGUAUUGAUUGCCUUAACUGGCAGCUCUUUGCACUGCCAGCUUCCCUCAAUUACAUGAGGAACCACGAGGGGGCAAUGUCUUCCCGAGCAAUAAUAGCUGAGUGGUGGUCUUAGGACCCCGUGGUGGCCCAUGAUGCUAGCACUGUGUCUUUGGCCAUUCUUGCCUGUCAUGGAGCAUACUCCACAGAAGGGCAUGGUCUUCUUGGAUCCCGGCAUGGGCCCAACAAAAAUGACAAUGUAGUCAAUAGUUCCACUCAGACCUCACUUAGGAGCAGGUGAACUAUGUUGUGUGAUAUCAGGAUGCCCGGAGAACCUCUCCUAUCCCCACCCAGGGAAGCAUGGCUUAAUUCCAAAUAAAGAAUCUGAUUUCUUUGUCUUUAAGCCA
Molecule: long non-coding RNA, 1625 nt
Filed under: Homo sapiens (human)
Lineage: Eukaryota; Metazoa; Chordata; Mammalia; Primates; Hominidae
Description: HSALNT0345984
Source: RNAcentral